RNAcentral lists this ribosomal RNA (484 nucleotides) under uncultured bacterium. Its description in RNAcentral is "partial 16S ribosomal RNA". It matches the Rfam family "Bacterial small subunit ribosomal RNA", at positions 29 to 507 of the family's 1533-position model. The record is from RNAcentral.
AUUGAACGCUGGCGGCAUGCUUUACACAUGUAAGUCGAACGGCAGCGCGGGCUUCGGCCUGGCGGCGAGUGGCGAACGGGUGAGUAAUGCAUCGGAACGUGCCCAGCAGUGGGGGAUAGCCCGGCGAAAGCCGGAUUAAUACCGCAUACGACCUGAGGGUGAAAGCGGGGGACCGAAAGGCCUCGCGCUAUUGGAGCGGCCGAUGUCGGAUUAGCUAGUUGGUGGGGUAAAGGCUUACCAAGGCGACGAUCCGUAGCUGGUCGGAGAGGACGACCAGCCACACUGGAACUGAAACAGGGCCAAGACUACUACGGGACGCAGCAGUGGGGAAUUUUGGACAAUGGGGGCAAACCUGAUCCAGCCAUGCCGCGUGCGGGAAGAAGGCCUUCGGGUUGUAAACCGCUUUUGUUCGGGAAGAAAUCCUCUGGGCUAAUACCCCGGGGGGAUGACGGUACCGGAAGAAUAAGCACCGGCUAACUACGUG